Molecule: long non-coding RNA, 1140 nt
Filed under: Salmo salar (Atlantic salmon)
Lineage: Eukaryota; Metazoa; Chordata; Actinopteri; Salmoniformes; Salmonidae
Description: lncRNA (ENSSSAG00000085195.1)
Source: RNAcentral
GACUGGACAUGCCGAGAGAUGAGUUUGGAUUGGUCUACCAUAUAGCACGCAUCUGUCUAUUGGAGCUGGUCAGUAUGUUUAGGUAAUCGUGUCGAAUUGUGGAUUUAAAAAAAUAAAUAUUGUGUAAUAAAACUGCAUAAACCUAAUGUCAAGUUAAAGUGUACUGUUAGCUAGCUAAAGUUAGCUGUCUAGCUCGCUAGCUAAGUGUAUGUUCUCCACUUUCUGGAGGACCGAGUUUUGAAAUCAGUGAAAUUUGAGUAUGAUAGCUAAGGAGAUGGAGAAAAUACCAGUCUGGAUUACAUCGUCAAACUAAGGCAACCAUGCAUGGCAUCAGACAGGAGACCCGUCCAACCAUGAUGUAUACUGGUAUGAUGGCUUGAGAUUUCAUUGAGGAAGAAAUCAUCAAGCGAUGUGCUGGACCUUAUGUCAGAGAUAUGUUUCUGAGAGCAUGUGAUUUCUUUCAAGACAAUGACCAGGAGACACACUGCCCCCCAGGUUUGCAUUGCAAAUGAGGGGCAUAAACUGGGUCAAGACGCCAGCAGACCUGGUCCAGACCAGACACAGCUGUGUCAAUAUUCAGGCUAAGGGAAGCCAGACUGCUGAGCCCCAAGACACAAGCCUCCAGCCAGAUCACAGGAUUACAUAUACACCCUCAACAAACCCCUCUCUGUUUGUUUGAUAUCCACAGAGAAUGGUCUGUCAUACAAAUAUGUUUGACCAUCAACCUCAGCCUGUCUCUAUGUCUGUCUGUUCUCUGUCAGUCUGUCUCUCUGUCAGUCUGUCUGUCUGUCUGUCUGUCUGUCUGUCUGUCUGUCUGUCUGUCUGUCUGUCUGUCUGUCUGUCUGUCAGCUUGUCUCUCUGUCUAUCUGUUCUCUGUCUGUCUCUCUGUCAGCCUGUCUCUCUGUCUGCCUGUCUUUCUGUCUGUUCUCUGUCAGCUUGUCUCUCUGUCUGUCUGUCAGCCUGUCUCUCUGUCAGCCUGUCUCUCUGCCAGCCUGUCUCUCUGCCAGCCUGUCUCUCUGUCUGUCUGUCUCUCUAUCUGUCUGUCGGUCAGCCUGUCUCUCUGUCAGCCUGUCUCUCUGUCAGCCUGUCUCUCUGCCAGCCUGUCUGUCUGUCUGUCUCUCUGUCUUUCUGUUCUCUGUC